AGAUGUUAUUUUGAAUGAGCCAGUAGAAAAGUGGCCUUUAUGCGACUGUCUCAUUUCUUUUCAUUCUAAAGGAUUUCCACUGGACAAAGCAGUUGCCUAUGCAAAACUCAGGAAUCCAUUCAUAAUCAAUGACUUGAAUAUGCAGUAUCACAUACAAGACAGGAGAGAAGUUUAUGGUAUUCUUAAAGCUGAAGGCAUUUUACUUCCUCGCUAUGCAGUUCUGAACCGUGAUCCAAACAAUCCCCAAGAAUGUAACUUGAUUGAAGGAGAAGAUCAUGUGGAAGUGAAUGGAGAAGUUUUCCAAAAGCCUUUUGUAGAAAAGCCCGUUAGUGCUGAGG
Melopsittacus undulatus (budgerigar) is the source of this 338-nucleotide long non-coding RNA. RefSeq lists it as uncharacterized. The transcript has 4 exons. Lineage: Eukaryota; Metazoa; Chordata; Aves; Psittaciformes; Psittaculidae. The record is from RefSeq and is a predicted model, not a curated record.